UCGCCUUAGCCAGGUCCCUGUUGCCGCACU
RNAcentral lists this small RNA (30 nucleotides) under Bombyx mori (domestic silkworm). RNAcentral's name for it is "ovarian small RNA-28750". Lineage: Eukaryota; Metazoa; Arthropoda; Insecta; Lepidoptera; Bombycidae. The record is from RNAcentral.